RNAcentral lists this ribosomal RNA (833 nucleotides) under uncultured bacterium. RNAcentral describes it as "bacterial SSU rRNA". It matches the Rfam family "Bacterial small subunit ribosomal RNA", at positions 59 to 917 of the family's 1533-position model. The record is from RNAcentral.
CAGUCGAACGGAGACAUUUGCGAUUAUAUCAAUUUUGUCUUAGCGGCGAACGAGGUAGUAAUGCGUAGGUAUAUACCCCAAAGUCAAGAAUAACUCAUCGAAAGAUGGGCUAAUACUUGAUAGUCUCUUCGGAGUAAAGUUUUAACGCUUUGGGAAUAGCCUGCGUGACAUCAGCUAGUUGGUAGGGUAAUGGCCUACCAAGGCAAUGACGUCUAGGGGAGCUGAGAGGCUGACCCCCACCGAUGGAACUGAGACACGGUCCAUACACCUACGGGUGGCUGCAGUCGAGAAUCUUCCGCAAUGGGCGCAAGCCUGACGGAGCGAUGUCGCGUGAUUGAUGAAGUCCUUCGGGAUGUAAAGGUCUUUUAUGAGGGAGAAAGUUAUUGAUAGUACCUCAUGAAUAAGGGGUUGCUAAACUCGUGCCAGCAGCAGCGGUAAUACGAGUGCCCCAAGCGUUAUCCGGAAUUAUUGGGCGUAAAGGGUGUGUAGGUGGUUCUGUUAGUCGAGUGUCAAAGACCCGGGCUUAACCUGGGGAAGGCAUUCGAAACGGCAGACCUAGAGGAUGCGAGAGGUGUGUAGAACUCAUAGUGUAGGGGUGAAAUCCGUUGAUAUUAUGGGGAAUACCAAAAGCGAAGGCAGCACACUGGCGCACUCCUGACACUGAAACACGAAAGCGUGGGUAGCGAAUGGGAUUAGAUACCCCAGUAGUCCACGCCCUAAACGAUGUACAUUUGCUUUUCGGAGUAUCGACCCUCUGAGAGGCGUAGCUAACGCGUUAAAUGUACCGCCUGGGUAUUACGACCGCAAGGUUAAAACUCAAAGGAAUAGACGGG